GAUGAACGCUGGCGGCGUGCCUAAUACAUGCAAGUCGAGCGAACAGACGAGGAGCUUGCUCCUCUGACGUUAGCGGCGGACGGGUGAGUAACACGUGGAUAACCUACCUAUAAGACUGGGAUAACUUCGGGAAACCGGAGCUAAUACCGGAUAAUAUAUUGAACCGCAUGGUUCAAUAGUGAAAGACGGUUUUGCUGUCACUUAUAGAUGGAUCCGCGCCGCAUUAGCUAGUUGGUAAGGUAACGGCUUACCAAGGCGACGAUGCGUAGCCAACCUGAGAGGGUGAUCGGCCACACUGGAACUGAGACACGGUCCAGACUCCUACGGGAGGCAGCAGUAGGGAAUCUUCCGCAAUGGGCGAAAGCUUGACGGAGCAACGCCGCGUGAGUGAUGAAGGUCUUCGGAUCGUAAAACUCUGUUAUUAGGGAAGAACAAAUGUGUAAGUAACUAUGCACGUCUUGACGGUACCUAAUCAGAAAGCCACGGCUAACUACGUG
This 497-nucleotide ribosomal RNA is filed under the name uncultured bacterium. Its description in RNAcentral is "partial 16S ribosomal RNA". It matches the Rfam family "Bacterial small subunit ribosomal RNA", at positions 28 to 507 of the family's 1533-position model. The record is from RNAcentral.